This 465-nucleotide ribosomal RNA is filed under the name uncultured bacterium. RNAcentral's name for it is "partial 16S ribosomal RNA". It matches the Rfam family "Bacterial small subunit ribosomal RNA", at positions 338 to 795 of the family's 1533-position model. The record is from RNAcentral.
CCUACGGGGAGCAGCAGUAGGGAAUCUUCCACAAUGGGCGAAAGCCUGAUGGAGCAACGCCGCGUGGGUGAAGAAGGUCUUCGGAUCGUAAAACCCUGUUGUUAGAGAAGAAAGUGCGUGAGAGUAACUGUUCACGUGUCGACGGUAUCUAACCAGAAAGCCACGGCUAACUACGUGCCAGGAGCCGCGGUAAUACGUAGGUGGCAAGCGUUAUCCGGAUUUAUUGGGCGUAAAGGGAACGCAGGCGGUCUUUUAAGUCUGAUGUGAAAGCCUUCGGCUUAACCGGAGUAGUGCGUUUGAAACUGGGAGACUUGAGUGCAGAAGAGGAGAGUGGAACUCCAUGUGUAGCGGUGAAAUGCGUAGAUAUAUGGAAGAACACCAGUGGCGAAAGCGGCUCUCUGGUCUGUAACUGACGCUGAGGUUCGAAAGCGUGGGUAGCAAACAGGAUUAGAUACCCCGGUAGUC